This is a long non-coding RNA of Phragmites australis (common reed), 7108 nucleotides long. RefSeq lists it as uncharacterized. The record is from RefSeq and is a predicted model, not a curated record. The transcript has 5 exons. NCBI's taxonomy places the organism in Eukaryota, Viridiplantae, Streptophyta, Magnoliopsida, Poales, Poaceae.
CAGAAGCAAACACCAAACGGCUCACAUCAUCGAAGAGAACAAAAGCUUUUCCUACCUCUCAACCUCAUCUUCCUCCUCAAGCUUCUCAUUCCUGCUAUUGACCCUUCUCUCAAUACCUCCUCUAGACUCCUUCUCUAUCCCAGUCUAAAUCCUCUCUUCCUACCCUCUAUUCUCUCAAUUGUAGUUUGAAUACUUGUGUUGAUCGGAUAUUGAGGUGUUUGCCGAGCACGGGUGGUGAAUUGGGGGUGUUCCAGUGAUUGAUUGGUGUGUUGGAUUGAGUGGGAUCGUAACACCUUGACAUCCACCUAGGCCAGGAUGUGAAACUGGGAAACAUCUUCCUGAUAAAUGAGACGUCCUCCCAUGUAGCUUCAUCCUACGACAAAUUUUGCCAAUGAAUUAGCCAUUGCGCCACAGGUUCUCCUUUCCUCGACACAAUCCUUCUAUCCAACAAAGCAAUGGGUUCAGUUUUAGACUUCACAUUCUCCCCCACCAGUGGCACUCUCGGCAUAGGAACAGCUUCCUGACCAACAUGCUUUUUCAAUUGGCUAACGUGGAAGACAAGGUGAAUCGAUGUCCCCUCAGGUAGUUGCAGUUAUAGCUACCUGGCCAAUUUUCUCCAGAAUUUUGUAUGGUCCAUACUACUUGGAUUUGAGUUCCAAAGAGCCCCUCAGUCCAAUAUGCAUAUAAGGCUGAACCUUUAGGUAUACCAUAUCACCAACUUCAAAGUGACUCUUGCUUCAUCAGAGAUGUUACAUGGUAAGGAAAACUCACCUAAUUGGGGUGGAGGAUACCCAUACAAGGCUUGGAAGGGGGUAAAUUUUAGAGAAGUGUGAUAAGAAGUGUUGUACCAUCAUUCUGCCAUGUGAAGCCAGGUAAACCAGUCCUUGGGCUCCAAAAACACCAUGCUUCUGAGAGGAAGGAGCAUUCGAGGAAGACCCCGAGGAUCCGGAGUUUGAAGAAGGAGUGGACGAGGACUUCAACGAAGGCAAGUCCUAAAACUAUUGAUCAUAUUGAUCCUAUGUUUUCAAAUACAACCAGUAGAGCCAUUGUAUCAAACAAUAGGGAUAUGCAUGAUUAAGUUAAUAGUUGUGAUUUUAAAUAAAUGCUAGAAUAGUUUUGACCUAGCUUGAUGUUGUUACCUUUAUUCCGUUGAAACCCUAGAAAGUCCCCAACAUCAUCUAUAAUGAUUGUUUGGAUGAAUGCUUGUUUACUAGUAUGUUUAGGAUUGCUUCGCUCAAAAGAAAGAACUAGAUUAUUUGCAUAUGUUAAUCAUGUUCUUCGAAAAUGUGAAGUGAUGUGUGCUUGGUUCGUGUGCGUGUAAAACUUGUGUUCUUGGGGAAAACUCUAGAGUAGUGUUGACGAGGGUGAGUAAAGUACCCAACAAAGGUGGGAACUACCUUGGGGCAAGGUUCGCCUUUGUGGCGUUCUUACUGGGAGACUUGCCUCGAUCGUAUAAGGACCGGUUCGCUGUGACAUCUUACCCAGUAUCCACUCGUACAACCACAUGGCCUGAAUGGGUAGAACUUGACCUAACUCCUCCGUCUUAGUUCGGUACCUACCCGGAGGCCGGUAGUGGCAAUGGGGACCAGGAGAAGACUUGGAUGGUACGUAGCCUAAGGUCCGGCUGAUGACAUUGUUAAGGCUAUGUCAAAACCUUGGGAUUGCUAAGUGGUCCUUCUCGUGGAUCUUCUAAGGCCCCUAGUAUCUUAAUGCCCUAUGAGAGGAUAUUGUGACUAUGUUGUGAGGUCGUUGCGUCUCGUUAUGACAGCUCCACCAGUUGCUAAGGUGGGAGCCUGUGCAUAUCUUAUAGGUAAAGUGUACAACCUCUGCAGAGUAUCAAACCUAUCCGAAUAGUCGUGUCCUCGGUCAAGGAUAUGCUAUGGUUUGGUCACAAUGAUUAGCUUUUUGGCGUGAGUAUCUCAUUGGUGUGUGAGUGGGCAGUGUGCCCGUGUUUUCGAAAAGAAGGGUUUGGCUUUGUGCCCUAAGCAUCCUGGACUGUGUGUCCACCGGCAAAAGACUUGUGAGAACUAGCGGGAUGAAAGUAUCUCCCCCAGGGCCAUCAACCCCUAUAAGCUCAACUUACGUGUUCCCUUUAGAAAUGCUUUUUGAGGUUGUCUUUGCAAAAUGAACCUUGCACCAAAAACUAGUUUUCUGCAAAACCUAAAAGACUCUACAGCCUUAUCCUUGAUCUACCCAUAUACAUCUAAUAUUCCCUCUUUGAGGUAGGACUUGCUGAGUACCUUAUGUACUCACACUUGCUAAUUGUGGACUCAGAUGAUCUAGAGGCCGACUUCGUUGAAAGGGAAGACGAAGAAUAGAGAAGCUGGUUUCGUUUGCACUCAAGUUGCCUGUAGGGCAUGUGUUGCUUUUACGUUGUUUCUGUUGUGCUGUGAGGGUUUGUUGAUUUAUACCUAUGGGCUUUUAUUGUAAUGAACUCUGUGUUGUACCCUAUUAUCGUACUUAAUCGAUGUAUGUCUGUGAUGUCUACUUCUGUUAGAAAUUGUGCGUACCAGCUACUGAUCCAGAAACUGGUAUAAGCUACACAAGGUGACCCGAAGGAGGGGUCUGACAAUAUUCUUCCUUUAUAUGUGAUAAUUCCAUCAUCUAUUGAGUAGUAACUAGACUCGUUUGGACUUACACUAAUGAGUUAUGGGAUGUUUUGACAUUUAAGAUCGGUGGUAUAACUUUGCUUAACAUCUUCAAUCCAAUAUGGUUUACGUAGUGUAACAUUUUGGCAAGCUACUUCUCUUCUAAAUAAAGCAUCAGCUACUAAGUUUUCUUGUAUUUAACUGAGUAGUCAAAUUGAAGCAACUUGAGCAACAACUUAAGCUGAAUUCCAUCAAUUAGCCUUUGAGUUAUAAUAUAUUUUAGACUCUGUUGGUCCGUCUUGAUUAUGAUAUUGCUUCCAAUAAGAUAAUGUCUCCAUUUCUUAAGAGCCUCCAAUAUAGCCAUGGCCUCUUUGUCAUAAAUGGAUUGGCCUGCUAAUCUGCUCCCUAAGGUUUUGCUCAUGAAGGCAAUGGGCCUCCCAGAUUGCAUCAGUAUAGCUCCAAGGCCAGAACUGCAAGCAUCAGUCUCCAAAAUGAAAGGCUCUUUGAAAUUUGGAAGAGCCAAUCUUAAGAUAGUAGUCAUAGCCUCCUUGAGCUGAUCAAAAGAAGUGAUCCGUGUCUCUUCCCAUACAAAUGCAUCUUUCUUAAAAUAUCAAACAAGGGUCUACAGAUUUGACUAUACCCCUUCACAAACCUUCUGUAGUAUCCUGUGAGUCCCAAGAAACUUCUCAGCCGAGUUACAUUCUCUAGUCUUGGCCAUUUUACUAUAUUUGCUAUCUUGCCAAGGUCGGUUGAAACCCCCUCACCACUGAUAAUAUGCCCCAAGUACUCAACUUGUCUCACAGAAAAGACACAUUUACUGAUCUUAGCAAACAUCUAAUUCUUCCUUAGAACAUCCAAGGCAAGCUGGACAUGAUUCCUAUGUUCAUUUUCAGUCUUGCUAUGAAUUAGGAUAUCAUCAAAGAAGACUAGAAUGAAUUUACCUAAAUAUGAGCCAUAGAUGGUGUUCAUAAGGGAUUGAAAGGUAGCUCAUGCAUUGUCAGACCAAAAGGCAUAAUUGUAUACUCAUAAUGACCUAGAUGAGUUCUAAAAGCAGUUUUGGGAAUAUCUAAUUCCUACAUUCUGAUUUGGCGGUAUCUAGACCACAAAUCAAGUUUAGUAAAUAUAGUGGCUCCAUGCAAAGCAUCCAAUAGGUCUUAUAUCACAGGCAUAGGGAAUUUGCUCUCAUUGUCACUAAGUUUAACUCUCUGUAGUCGACACAUAGUCUCUAAGAACUAUCUUUCUUUAUAACUAUGACAGCAGGUGAAGAAAAAAUGCUCAAGGUAGGUCUGAUUACCUAAGUUUCCAUGAGAUUUUUUAUCAACCCUUCCAUAGCCUCUCUCUUAUAAUGUGGUACUUUGUAUGGACUGAGGUUUGCUGUUUCUACACCAUUCUUCAUAUGUACUGCAUGAUCACAAUCCCUCUUAGGAAGCAUCUCUUUUGGAUUCUUGAAUACAUCUGAGGAACUACUCACAAUAUUCUCCCUUGCUAUAUUCCCUUCUUGUAUUAUGUUCACUUGAAUUACGCAUCCCAUCACUCCCUUGUUUAUCAUCUUCUCCAGCCUAGCAGCCUUCAACAUGCAUUUGCUACCUAGAAUAGUAUGAUCAGUAAAGACUAUUCUCAUUCCACAUUUAGUUACAGAGAACAACCUCUUUUGUAAAUUCAGCUCCACUGGACUAUACUCAAAAAUUCAAUCUGCUCACAAUAAGAAUUUGUGAAUUGUGUGCCUUGUCUACUAUAGUCCAUGUUGUUCACUACAUCAUCCUUUAUUAAUUCUCCUGCUGCUGCUACUAUGACCUUUUUUUUUGCUUUGACAUAGCUCAAUGGACAGUUUGUAUCCGCAACAAAUUCAUAACUCAUGAAGGUAUCAGUACCGCCACUAUCAACCAUAGUAACUGCCCUCUUGCCAUUGAUAUUUGUGAUCAGUGAAAAUGUCAUGUGACUAGCUGUUCCUUUAACUGCAUGUGUGGAUAUCAUGUGUUCCUGAUCUUCAAUUUGGGAGGAUGAGCUGGUUUUCAGGGUUUCAGGUGGACUGCUUAGAGCAGUUACAAAUACUUGUUGUGAAUUUGUCUCUUCCCCUUUAUCUUCAAGCUCCUCUCUGGACAAUUCCAAUAAUAUUGAAUGUAACCUUGCAAUUGUGUUGAGGAUUCCAUGGCUCUUUACACUACCAGCUAGUUUUUCUAUUUAUGUCCACCCUAUGGUUCUUUUCCAUAAUUUGAGCUCCUCCUUUUGGGGUACAAUUCUUGUUACUCCAAUGGACACAUGAUUUGGUCCAGUGGUGUGACCCGAGGCCUUUUGAAAUUGCUGGACAUUUCAAUAUGUUUGGCAUACCAGAAUGCUUCAAGUAGAUUGUUUGGUUGAUGACAAGUUACCUGGUGCUGAAUAUGACUCUUUAGCAUAAAACAUCUCAAGAAAAAGGACUCUUGCAAGUAGGGGUGUUCCUUCUUGAAUAGGGUCAUGCAUUUUUCAAACUUGUCUAUAUAUUGCACUACUGACCCAUAUUGUUGUAAAGUCUGAAACUUUAUCACUGCCUCAUGUAUUACAAGAGUGGAGAAUUUGUCUUGCAACAUUAUGCUUAAUUGGUCACAAGUGAUCAAAGGCCAAGGUACUCCCAAUCCUACAAACUAGUUCUCUACCUUAUCAACGAAAUGGGCAGUUGCAAGGUUAACCCACUAAGCAUAUGGACUACCUGUCACCUCAAAGUAACGCUCACACUGCCUAAGACACCCACUGGGUUUUCACCACUGAACAAAGGAAUCUCCAUCCUAGGACCUUUACUGAUAGCUUCAGCAUAAUUUUGGUUGUGAUUAGAAACUAUUUCUCCCUGAAUUCUCUAAGGGUCAACUGGCUGAACUCCAGGAUAACCUUGACCGCAUGUCCUCUGAGCACCCCCAACUACAGAACUCCCUAAACUAUAUGGAUUAUACCAGGGUAAACAUGGAUAACUACUUUCUCUCGGAGGAAUUACUAUUGGAUGCAUAGAUACACUGUAUACAGGAGAAACAAGUGGGCAUGAUAGCUGAGCUAAUCCAAGGUUAGACCUAGUGCUCUCCAUUAAUAUUAAAUCUCUAGACUCGCACAAAGGCACAUACAUGGCAUGAUCAGUAGAAUGCAUGGUACUGGAUAGAUUACCCUCUUGAAUACUUACCACUGGUUCACCCAACCCAUGGGGUCUUCUGCUACUUUCUUCAGUCUCGCCAGAAGUAACCUCUUGAUCUUGGCCACAUCUGCCCUCAAGUGCCGAAGCUCCGCUAGUUCUCUCUUGGUCUCAUUCACUUCGGUCCACGAAGCUUCUUCCCUGGACAACCCCAUCUCAACCAGUGGUUCACAGGCGGUUCAACUUGUUCCUCCCCUUUAUGCUGGUGAACCUCGAUCUACCGUCACUUAAGGACAGAGAUCAGUUGAGGGAUUUUACACUGGAACAAGUCUGGAAACCCAAGCUUGAAUAUGUCCUCCCUCUGACGCCACCGUUGAAAAAUCAACCCCGGGCUCCUAGAAUUUUAUACCCGAACAACGGCGAGCAACCCUCACCCUAGUUGAAGUUUCCGCCAUUUAUUCUUGAACCUCAUCGAGGAUCUGGGAGGCUCUGAUGCCCUUUGUUAGAUCUUGCCAAUGCUUGAGCUAAAUCUGACAAGAACUCGUGCACGUGACAGUGGAGAAUUUUUGGGGAAGUUGGAGAAUCGGCAAGAACAGGUAAGAACACCUGGAGGAACGCUGAAUACGCUAACCAACCUAAAAGAAUAAUAUGAUUCCAACUCACUUUUCCAUUUCUACCACUCCCAGUUUUAGCAUCCAGGUUUACAGACAAAGCUCGGUUACAAAGUCUCAAAACGACAGAUAAAACGGUAACGACAAACGGCUUAGCACCACAGUAAUUAGUCUCCAUCGUCCGAUCCUCUGGGACCUCGCUGAAGACCGUCCGAUGCACAUAAACGAACCGGGGCUCUCUGCUCUCUCCUCGUCUGACGCGGGACGCCUCGACGCCACCUCACAAAGGCCUUCAAUCGCUAUCUCUGCUGCUAGCCCGGGGCUCUCUGCUCUCUCCUCGUCUGACGCGGGACGCCUCGACGCCACCUCACAAAGGCCUUCAAUCGCCAUCUCUGCUGCUAGCCCAGCGCGAACUGCGACUCGCAGCACCUGGACGCUCGCUUUUCAGCUCAAGAUGCCCCUGAGCCUGCCUGGCCUGGCCUGGCCUGGCCUGCUAGAUGCCGCAAACACAUGGCACCUGCAUGUAUCCGUAAUUCCGUUCCUUAUAGAUCUGUCGAUUCACGGAGGAGUCAGGAUCACGAAAGAACAUCUAUCGCUAUCUCUGCUGCCGCCAGACUCGAACCCUCCAUGAAGGAAGAAGCUUUGCUAGGUGCAACAGAGCUUGUAGUAGACUGUGGACGACUGCAGUCAUGACACUGGCAGUGGCCGAUCGAGUGCUUUCUCCUCGAACAGACUCCCUUUGGAGAAAGGCGAAAGGGGAAUAGAUGAGCCCACAGACUCCAUCCUGCACAGCAAACCGCGCCCGCGGUUCCUUC